This 464-nucleotide ribosomal RNA is filed under the name uncultured bacterium. Its description in RNAcentral is "bacterial SSU rRNA". It matches the Rfam family "Bacterial small subunit ribosomal RNA", at positions 331 to 792 of the family's 1533-position model. The record is from RNAcentral.
CCAGACUCCUACGGGAGGCAGCAGUGAGGAAUAUUGGUCAAUGGGCGAGAGCCUGAACCAGCCAAGUCGCGUGAGGGAAGACGGUCCUAUGGAUUGUAAACCUCUUUUGCCGGGGAGCAAAAAGCGGUACGUGUACCGCAUCGAGAGUACCCGGAGAAAAAGCAUCGGCUAACUCCGUGCCAGCAGCCGCGGUAAUACGGAGGAUGCGAGCGUUAUCCGGAUUUAUUGGGUUUAAAGGGUGCGCAGGCGGGGGUGUAAGGUGGGGGGAAAAAUCGGGGGGCACACCCCCGGCGAGCCGUUGAAACUGGCUUGCUAGAGUGGGCGAGAAGUAUGCGGAAUGCGUGGUGUAGCGGUGAAAUGCAUAGAUAUCACGCAGAACUCCGAUUGCGAAGGCAGCAUACCGGCGCCCAACUGACGCUCAGGCACGAAAGCGUGGGUAUCGAACAGGAUUAGAUACCCGUGUA